AGCAGCCGCGGUAAUUCCAGCUCCAAUAGCGUAUAUUAAAGUUGUUGCAGUUAAAAAGCUCGUAGUUGAAUUUCGGGGUUAGUAGAUUGGUCAUGCCAUCGGUAUGUACUGGUCUCACUGAUUCCUCCUUCCUGAUGAGCCAUAAUGCCAUUAAUUUGGUGUUGCGGGGAAUUUGGACUGUUACUUUGAAAAAAUUAGAGUGUUUAAAGCAGGCAUUUUUGCUUGAAUACAUUAGCAUGGAAUAAUAAAAUAGGACGGCAUGGUUCUAUUUUGUUGGUUUCUAGGACCACCGUAAUGAUUAAUAGGGAUAGUUGGGGGCAUUAGUAUUCAAUUGUCAGAGGUGAAAUUCUUGGAUUUAUUGAAGACUAACUACUGCGAAAGCAUUUGCCAAGGAUGUUUUCAUUAAUCAAGAACGAAAGUUAGGGGAUCGAAGACGAUCAGAUACCGUCGUAGUCUUAACCAUAAACUAUGCCGACUAGGAAUCAGACGAUGUUAAUUUUUUAAUGACUCGUUUGGCACC
Molecule: unclassified non-coding RNA, 520 nt
Filed under: uncultured Acaulospora
Lineage: Eukaryota; Fungi; Glomeromycota; Glomeromycetes; Diversisporales; Acaulosporaceae
Description: SSU rRNA
Rfam family: Eukaryotic small subunit ribosomal RNA
Source: RNAcentral